Molecule: ribosomal RNA, 461 nt
Filed under: Paenibacillus sp. R-45807
Lineage: Bacteria; Bacillati; Bacillota; Bacilli; Caryophanales; Paenibacillaceae
Description: bacterial SSU rRNA
Rfam family: Bacterial small subunit ribosomal RNA
Source: RNAcentral
GCUCAGGACGAACGCUGGCGGCAUGCCUAAUACAUGCAAGUCGAGCGGACUUGAAGAGAAGCUUGCUUCUYUGAURGUUAGCGGCGGACGGGUGAGUAACACGUAGGCAACCUGCCCUCAAGUUUGGGACAACUACCGGAAACGGUAGCUAAUACCGAAUAAUUGUUUUCUUCGCCUGAAGRRAACUGGAAAGACGGAGCAAUCUGUCACUUGGGGAUGGGCCUGCGGCGCAUUAGCUAGUUGGUGAGGUAACGGCUCACCAAGGCGACGAUGCGUAGCCGACCUGAGAGGGUGAUCGGCCACACUGGGACUGAGACACGGCCCAGACUCCUACGGGAGGCAGCAGUAGGGAAUCUUCCGCAAUGGGCGAAAGCCUGACGGAGCAAUGCCGCGUGAGUGAUGAAGGUUUUCGGAUCGUAAAGCUCUGUUGCCAGGGAAGAACGCUUGGGAGAGUAACUGCU